GAUGAACGCUGGCGGCGUGCCUAAUACAUGCAAGUCGAGCGAACAGACGAGGAGCUUGCUCCUCUGACGUUAGCGGCGGACGGGUGAGUAACACGUGGAUAACCUACCUAUAAGACUGGGAUAACUUCGGGAAACCGGAGCUAAUACCGGAUAAUAUAUUGAACCGCAUGGUUCAAUAGUGAAAGACGGUUUUGCUGUCACUUAUAGAUGGAUCCGCGCCGCAUUAGCUAGUUGGUAAGGUAACGGCUUACCAAGGCAACGAUGCGUAGCCGACCUGAGAGGGUGAUCGGCCACACUGGAACUGAGACACGGUCCAGACUCCUACGGGAGGCAGCAGUAGGGAAUCUGCCGCAAUGGGCGAAAGCCUGACGGAGCAACGCCGCGUGAAUGAUGAAGGUCUUCGGAUCGUAAAACUCUGUUAUUAGGGAAGAACAAAUGUGUAAGUAACUAUGCACGUCUUGACGGUACCUAAUCAGAAAGCCACGGCUAACUACGUG
This 497-nucleotide ribosomal RNA is filed under the name uncultured bacterium. RNAcentral describes it as "partial 16S ribosomal RNA". It matches the Rfam family "Bacterial small subunit ribosomal RNA", at positions 28 to 507 of the family's 1533-position model. The record is from RNAcentral.